This 484-nucleotide ribosomal RNA is filed under the name uncultured bacterium. RNAcentral describes it as "partial 16S ribosomal RNA". It matches the Rfam family "Bacterial small subunit ribosomal RNA", at positions 28 to 523 of the family's 1533-position model. The record is from RNAcentral.
GACGAACGCUGGCGGCGUGCUUAACACAUGCAAGUCGAACGAUGAAGCCGGAGCUUGCUCUGGUGAAUUAGUGGCGAACGGGUGAGUAACACGUGAGUAACCUGCCCUUGACUCUGGGAUAACUGCGGGAAACUGUAGCUAAUACCGGAUAGGACCCUCGGAGGCAUCUCCUGGGGGUGGAAAGAAUUUCGGUCAAGGAUGGACUCGCGGCCUAUCAGCUAGUUGGUGAGGUAAAGGCUCACCAAGGCGACGACGGGUAGCCGGCCUGAGAGGGUGACCGGCUACACUGCGACUGAGACACGGCCCAGACUCCUACGGGAGGCAGCAGUGGGGAAUAUUGCACACUGUGCGCAAGCCUGAUGCAGCAACGCCGCGUGAGGGAUGACGGCCUUCGGGUUGUAAACCUCUUUUAGUAGGGAAGAAGCGAAAGUGACGGUAGGUGCAGCAGAAGGACCGGCCAACUACGUGCCAGCCGCCGCAGUAA